This 49-nucleotide non-coding RNA is filed under the name Trypanosoma brucei brucei. The record is from RNAcentral. Lineage: Eukaryota; Euglenozoa; Kinetoplastea; Trypanosomatida; Trypanosomatidae.
AAAUCAAAUAAGUCACGUAGAAGGUCAUAGAAUAGAUUUAAUUGUAAUU